Molecule: ribosomal RNA, 463 nt
Filed under: uncultured bacterium
Lineage: Bacteria
Description: partial 16S ribosomal RNA
Rfam family: Bacterial small subunit ribosomal RNA
Source: RNAcentral
GAUGAACGCUGACAGAAUGCUUAACACAUGCAAGUCGAUGGGGAAGUGGUGCUUGCACCAUGGCAACCAUGGCGGACGGGUGAGUAACGCGUAAGGGACUUACCUGCAGGACUGGGAUAACAGGGGGAAACUCCUGACAAGACCGGAUAAUGUCAUGGAGCUGCAUGGCUUUAUGAUGAAAGGAGACGCCUGCGGAGAGCCUUGCGUCCUAUUAGCUAGUUGGUGAGGUAAUGGCUCACCAAGGCGAAGAUAGGUAGCCGGCCUGAGAGGGUGGACGGCCACAAGGGGACUGAGAUACGGCCGUUACUCCUACGGGAGGCAGCAGUGGGGAAUAUUGGACAAUGGGGGCAACCCUGAUCCAGCAAUUCUGUGUGCACGAAGAAGGUUUUCGGAUUGUAAAGUGCUUUCAGCAGGGAAGAAGUAAGUGACGGUACCUGCAGAAGAAGCGACGGCUAAAUACGUG